CGUCCGCCGCCGCAAGGUAAGUUCCUGCCCAUCCCACCGUGUGUGUUUGCAGAGGAGAUCCUCCGCCGUCUCAUGGCCCUAUUCGGUUCAGACCUAGCUCCCCCCACCGCCCGUCCGUCCUUCCGCACUUGACUGCUCUCAAACCCUAACCCUCGCCGCCGGUCCUUGUCACCCCGUCGUCGUGCCCAUUGGCAGGCCUCGGCGACCUCCGUCCGCCGCACGUGGUAAGGCCCCCACCCAUCCCAAUGUGCCCCCCCCCGGUGAGAGGUGGUUCCGGUCGCCCAGCGCGCGAUCCUUCUCGGGCUGGGUCCCACGUUCUCCUCAGAGGAUGGCAUGAUGAAAGUGGGCUCGUGCUCACGAACCAUACUUGACUCCGGGUUUGUGCAGUGUACUCUUAGCGGCGUCGGUCAGACCAUCCGCCUCUCUCCUUCCAGCAUCAAGGUAACCUCUCCUUAUUUAGUACGUUUGUAUCAAGAAAACAGUGUUCCAUGUUCCAUCACAAAUGCAAAGAGGGUUCUCACGGAAACAGGAUGCCUCACACCGAUGGAGUUGGCUCUUUGCUACAUAUUAAGCAAAUAGUGUAUUUGUGUUGUUACUGCUUGGACUUUUAAACAUUUGCUCUCUAUAAUAUAUACUGAUUUAGUCAUAUCUUUUAUUUGUAGUAGGUUGCUUUUAUGGCAUCUUGAUCCAUCAAUUAUUAGGCUUGAUCUCUCAGUGAUGCUCAAGGAGUACUUGAUGAUGAGGCCGUCAUGAGGAAACAACUCCACGAGGCGAGAGAACAGCUGGUGAGACAAAGGUAAGAGUGUUUUUUACCUAUAUAUGUUUGCUGACUGAUGGCUGCAGAUAUCUCUUCACAGAAUUUGUUGAACAACAUUGGUACUAAUAUAUUCACUCUCUCUGUAGUUUGGAGGAAGGAACUUAGAAUUUGCUAAUCCUGAAGAAAGCUUAUUGUUUUUUUCGACUGAACCAACAAUUAUAUUUGGUUGUUGCCUCCCAAGACUGGCCCUAGGUGGCUAACUAUAAUGGCAUUAUCCGUGCACAAGGUCACCGUCAAGAGCUCAUCGAUGGGCUGGAAAACAUUGUCAAGGAACUCCUACUUGCAUUCGUGGAACGGUCUAAGCAGAGACCCAAGCAGCUGAUCUUCUACAGGGAUGGCGUAAGUGAGGGCCAAUUCAAACAAGUGCUGGAGCAAGAAAUCCAUGAGAUAGAGAAGGCAUGGACAGCUCUUUACAAUGAGAAGCCAAAGAUCACCUUCGUAGUGGUGCAGAAGAGGCACCACACAAGGCUCUUCCCCAGCAAACCAAAGGAUCGCCAAUACGCGGACAAGAGUGGGAAUAUUCGAGCUGGCACCGUAGUUGAUAAUAAUAUCUGCCACCCAACAGAAUUUGAUUUCUUCCUGUGCGGCCAUGCUGGGGCCAAGGGAACAAGCCGUCCUACGCAUUACCAUGUGCUACGAGAUGACAACAAGUUCACCGCAGAUGCUCUGUAGUCUCUAACAUAUAACUUGUGCUACAUCAAUCAAUUUACAGAGCAGAUGCUCUCUUGUUGACAACUCUCAUAAGAGUCGAUAAGUUUGUAGGUGUAACCCAAUGUAUCUUCAGCAGUUCUAAAGGACUGAACAUGUUACUAGAAAGAGGUGAAUGAAAGGACUACAGAGAGUUGUGAAAGAGGAAGCGGUGCGGGCUGGUGGAGUACCAGACGCUGCCGGCUUACCUGCGGGACAACGAGUACAUCCACCGCCACUACCGCUGCGA
This is an RNA transcript of Zea mays, 1754 nucleotides long. It is a transcript of the gene named Piwi superfamily pseudogene, with no coding region annotated. The record is from RefSeq and is marked validated. Lineage: Eukaryota; Viridiplantae; Streptophyta; Magnoliopsida; Poales; Poaceae.